This is a long non-coding RNA of Fundulus heteroclitus (mummichog), 797 nucleotides long. RefSeq lists it as uncharacterized. The record is from RefSeq and is a predicted model, not a curated record. Lineage: Eukaryota; Metazoa; Chordata; Actinopteri; Cyprinodontiformes; Fundulidae. The transcript is spliced from 3 exons.
CUGUAGUUUCAGAAAGAGUGAGAGAACUUUGCAGCUUGAAAGACAUUCAACACGUGGCUGCCGCCUGAACAAGACUGGUUUGAAUCUUCGUACUUGUAUAUAUUUCAGCAAACGGGGAGAACAUUUACUGAAAAACGACGUUUGUCGAAAGACUAAACGGGUGACCACUUAAGGGAAAGAUGCAGUUUAGCCUGAUUUCAACCUCUCUUCUCUGUUUCACGACAUGGAUGAACCUGGUCCAAGCAACCAUUGGAUAUUGUCCGUGUGUUACGCUCUCCAAUAAAAAAGUCCCUCACUCUAGAAUUAACGGAUACAGCAUUCAGAAGAAAGAUCCCUGUUUGUUUACAGCAGUUGCGUUUCUGACAGACGCUGGAAAGAUAAUAUGCUCCACCGAGAAUGACUGGACAAAACGUGUAAUUCAGCAGCUGGAAAAAAGACAAAAUAAAAAAGCAGUGGCAAAACUUAUCAACUUCUGCACCUGGAAUGGAACCACAAUCAACAACAACAACAGCACCAGGAUCUUGAAGGAGACGACAGGAUAAGAGGAAAAUAAGGGAAUUGCAGAAAAGAUGUGCAAAGACAUCAAAGUGAUUUCCCUUAAGAAAUGUUGUUCUAAGAAAUAUGACAUACAAUACUUAAAUGCAGUGGUUUUAAAUUUUUUCCAGCUUAAAAACACUUUCUAACACCUAAUAAUUGUUCUGUGACUCUUCCUGGGUGUCCAGACCAGGUGGCGAGUGAAAGCUUUAAUGUAUCACAACAAAAUAUUAUGAAGCUCUGCUUUAUAUCUGUAUUAUAGU